CUACCUUAUUCUACGGAAUAACACAGAGAAAUUUGUGCUAAUACCGUAUACGCCCUUCGGGGAAAGAUUUAUCGGAGUAGGAUGGGCCCGCGUUGGAUUAGCUAGUUGGUGGGGUAAUGGCCUACCAAGGCGACGAUCUAUAGCUGGUCUGAGAGGAUGAUCAGCCACACUGGGACUGAGACACGGCCCAGACUCCUACGGGAGGCAGCAGUGGGGAAUAUUGGACAAUGGGGGCAACCCUGAUCCAGCCAUGCCGCGUGAGUGAUGAAGGCCCUAGGGUUGUAAAGCUCUUUCAACGGUGAAGAUAAUGACGGUAACCGUAGAAGAAGCCCCGGCUAACUUCGUGCCAGCAGCCGCGGUAAUACGGAGGGGGUUAGCGUUGUUCGGAAUUACUGGGCGUAAAGCGCGCGUAGGGGAUUGGAAAGUUGGGGGUGAAAUCCCGGGGCUCAACCCCGAACUGCCUCCAAAACUAUCAGUCUAGAGUUCGAGAGAGGUGAGUGGAAUUCCAAGUGUAGAGGUGAAAUUCGUAGAUAUUUGGAGGAACACCAGUGGCGAAGGGGCUCACUGGCUCGAUACUGACGCUGAGGUGCGAAAGUGUGGGGAGCAAACAGGAUUAGAUACCCUGGUAGUCCACACCGUAAACGAUGAAUGCCAGACGUCGGGGGGCUUGCCUUCGGUGUCACACCUAACGGAUUAAGCAUUCCGCCUGGGGAGUACGGUCGCAAGAUUAAAACUCAAGGAAUUGACGGGGGCCCGCACAAGCGUGGAGCAUGUGGUUUAAUUCG
RNAcentral lists this ribosomal RNA (785 nucleotides) under uncultured bacterium. RNAcentral describes it as "bacterial SSU rRNA". It matches the Rfam family "Bacterial small subunit ribosomal RNA", at positions 126 to 953 of the family's 1533-position model. The record is from RNAcentral.